AUAAUGACUCUCGGCAACGGAUAUCUCGGCUCUCGCAUCGAUGAAGAACGUAGCGAAAUGCGAUACUUGGUGUGAAUUGCAGAAUCACGUGAACCAUCGAGUCUUUGAACGCAAGUUGCGCCCGAAGCCAUUAGGCCGAGGGCACGCCUGCCUGGGCGUCUCACA
Molecule: ribosomal RNA, 165 nt
Filed under: Payena obscura
Lineage: Eukaryota; Viridiplantae; Streptophyta; Magnoliopsida; Ericales; Sapotaceae
Description: 5.8S ribosomal RNA
Rfam family: 5.8S ribosomal RNA
About the family: 5.8S ribosomal RNA (5.8S rRNA) is a component of the large subunit of the eukaryotic ribosome.
Source: RNAcentral